Molecule: transfer RNA, 72 nt
Filed under: Euroglyphus maynei
Lineage: Eukaryota; Metazoa; Arthropoda; Arachnida; Sarcoptiformes; Pyroglyphidae
Rfam family: tRNA
About the family: Transfer RNA (tRNA) molecules are approximately 80 nucleotides in length. Their secondary structure includes four short double-helical elements and three loops (D, anti-codon, and T loops).
Source: Rfam by way of RNAcentral
GAUCUCGUAGCGCAAGGGUAGAGCGUUUGCCUCCAGAGCAAAAGGUUGCGUGUUCGAAUCACGUCGAGAUCA